RNAcentral lists this ribosomal RNA (448 nucleotides) under uncultured bacterium. RNAcentral describes it as "bacterial SSU rRNA". It matches the Rfam family "Bacterial small subunit ribosomal RNA", at positions 329 to 794 of the family's 1533-position model. The record is from RNAcentral.
CUCCAGACUCCUACGGGAGGCAGCAGUGGGGAAUAUUGCACAAUGGGGGAAACCCUGAUGCAGCGACGCCGCGUGAGUGAAGAAGUAUCUCGGUAUGUAAAGCUCUAUCAGCAGGGAAGAAAAUGACGGUACCUGACUAAGAAGCCCCGGCUAACUACGUGCCAGCAGCCGCGGUAAUACGUAGGGGGCAAGCGUUAUCCGGAUUUACUGGGUGUAAAGGGAGCGUAGACGGCUGUGCAAGCCAGAUGUGAAAGCCCGGGGCUCAACCCCGGGACUGCUCUGGAAACUGCGUCGCUGGAGUACGGGAGGGGCAGGCGGAAUUCCUGGUGUAGCGGUGAAAUGCGUAGAUAUCAGGAGGAACACCGGCGGCGAAGGCGGCCUGCUGGACCGUGACUGACGUUGAGGCUCGAGAGCGUGGGGAGCAAACAGGAUUAGAUACCCGCGUAGU